This 468-nucleotide ribosomal RNA is filed under the name uncultured bacterium. RNAcentral's name for it is "partial 16S ribosomal RNA". It matches the Rfam family "Bacterial small subunit ribosomal RNA", at positions 28 to 507 of the family's 1533-position model. The record is from RNAcentral.
GACGAACGCUGGCGGCGUGCUUAACACAUGCAAGUCGAACGGAAAGGCCCUGCUUUUGUGGGGUGCUCGAGUGGCGAACGGGUGAGUAACACGUGAGUAACCUGCCCUUGACUUUGGGAUAACUUCAGGAAACUGGGGCUAAUACCGGAUAGGAGCUCCUGCUGCAUGGUGGGGGUUGGAAAGUUUCGGCGGUUGGGGAUGGACUCGCGGCUUAUCAGCUUGUUGGUGGGGUAGUGGCUUACCAAGGCUUUGACGGGUAGCCGGCCUGAGAGGGUGACCGGCCACAUUGGGACUAAGAUACGGCCCAGACUCCUACGGGAGGCAGCAGUGGGGAAUAUUGCACAAAGGGCGGAAGCCUGAUGCAGCAACGCCGCGUGCGGGAUGACGGCCUUCGGGUUGUAAACCGCUUUCGCCUGUGACGAAGCGUGAGUGACGGUAAUGGGUAAAGAAGCACCGGCUAACUACGUG